GUUAUAACCGGCGAUACCCGAAUGGGGAAACCCAGUGUGAUUCGUCACACUAUCAUUAACUGAAUCCAUAGGUUAAUGAGGCGAACCGGGGGAACUGAAACAUCUAAGUACCCCGAGGAAAAGAAAUCAACCGAGAUUCCCCCAGUAGCGGCGAGCGAACGGGGAGGAGCCCAGAGCCUGAAUCAGCAUGUGUGUUAGUGGAAGCGUCUGGAAAGGCGCGCGAUACAGGGUGACAGCCCCGUACACAAAAGCGCAUGUGCUGUGAGCUCGAUGAGUAGGGCGGGACACGUGGUAUCCUGUCUGAAUAUGGGGGGACCAUCCUCCAAGGCUAAAUACUCCUGACUGACCGAUAGUGAACCAGUACCGUGAGGGAAAGGCGAAAAGAACCCCGGCGAGGGGAGUGAAAAAGAACCUGAAACCGUGUACGUACAAGCAGUGGGAGCACAGGUUUACCUGUGUGACUGCGUACCUUUUGUAUAAUGGGUCAGCGACUUAUAUUCUGUAGCAAGGUUAACCGAAUAGGGGAGCCGUAGGGAAACCGAGUCUUAACCGGGCGUUAAGU
This 562-nucleotide ribosomal RNA is filed under the name Salmonella enterica subsp. enterica serovar Newport. RNAcentral describes it as "partial 23S ribosomal RNA". It matches the Rfam family "Bacterial large subunit ribosomal RNA", at positions 97 to 700 of the family's 2925-position model. Lineage: Bacteria; Pseudomonadati; Pseudomonadota; Gammaproteobacteria; Enterobacterales; Enterobacteriaceae. The record is from RNAcentral.